RNAcentral lists this ribosomal RNA (499 nucleotides) under uncultured bacterium. RNAcentral describes it as "bacterial SSU rRNA". It matches the Rfam family "Bacterial small subunit ribosomal RNA", at positions 27 to 501 of the family's 1533-position model. The record is from RNAcentral.
GAUGAAACGCUGGCGGCGUGCCUAAUUACAUGCAAGUAGAACGCUGAAGAGAGGAGCUUGCUCUUCUUGGAUGAGUUGCGAACGGGUGAGUAAACGCGUAGGUAACCUGCCUUGUAGCGGGGGAUAACUAUUGGAAACGAUAGCUAAUACCGCAUAACAAUGGAUGACACAUGUCAUUUAUUUGUAAAGGGGCGAAUUAGCUCCACCUACAAGAUGGACCUGCGUUGUAUUAGCUAGUAGGUGAGGUAAUGGCUCACCUAGGCGACGAUACAUAGCCGACCUGAGAGGGUGAUCGGCCACACUGGGACUGAGACACGGCCCAGACUCCUACGGGAGGCAGCAGUAGGGAAUCUUCGGCAAUGGGGCAACCCUGACCGAGCAACGCCGCGUGAGUGAAGAAGGUUUUCGGAUCGUAAAGCUCUGUUGUAAGUCAAGAACGGGUGUGAGAGUGGAAAGCUCAACAACUGUGACGGUAGCUUACCAGAAAGGGACGGCUAAC